UACGUAGGGUGCGAGCGUUAAUCGGAAUUACUGGGCGUAAAGCGUGCGCAGGCGGUUCGUUGUGUCUGAUGUGAAAGCCCCGGGCUUAACCUGGGAAUGGCAUUGGAAACUGGCGAGCUGGAGUGUGGCAGAGGGGGGUGGAGUUCCGCGUGUAGCAGUGAAAUGCGUAGAGAUGCGGAGGAACACCGAUGGCGAAGGCAGCCCCCUGGGCCAACACUGACGCUCAGGCACGAAAGCGUGGGGAGCAAACGGG
This 253-nucleotide ribosomal RNA is filed under the name uncultured bacterium. RNAcentral describes it as "partial 16S ribosomal RNA". It matches the Rfam family "Bacterial small subunit ribosomal RNA", at positions 524 to 776 of the family's 1533-position model. The record is from RNAcentral.